AAUUAUCUCACCUUUAAAAUCAUUGAAAUUAAUUCCAGUUGAACUUAAUUCACUUUCAAUUUUAUCAACAAUUGCUUGGAAAUCAGAUGAUGUCACAUUAGCGGUUUCACUUUCUUCAGGCCAAUAGACCAAAUCAAAGUUUAUUCUAUACUUACUGGACCUUCUUGACCAUUGGAUGGAGGACAAACGGUGAGACACUCGUCGGUUUCUGGGCAGUAAAUUGUUCCUGAAGUACAAUAGUCAAUCUGUUUAGUUAAACUCUCAACACAAACAAUAUCCAAACAUGUUAAUGAUGAGGCACAGAAAAUAAACUCAUCGAUACAAAGUGGACUUCGUUUUUUAGAUUAUGUUUAACUGACCAAAAUGAUGACGGAUAUUCAAUGGUUUCUAUAUUCUUCCUGGAAUUUGUUGCCGAUAAUUUAUUAAUUGGAAACAAUAUUAACAUGGUCAUUACCAUUAAAGGAUAACCAUUACUGUUGGAUAAUUUUGGAAACACCAUUUGAACAAUCAGUUAAUCUCCAAUCAAACAAGUUCCAUGGGAUUAACACAUGACUGUUGAUCUGAUCACGUUUGAUGUAAAAAAUUUUCAACAACAAGGUAACCAUAACCGUCAUUAUGGAAACCUAUUAAUUUAUAAAUUGUUAAAUUUUCAACAAUUUAUAGAUUUGGAUUAUUUCACAAUCUCAACGAAAACAUAUACUCCUAAAGGUUAAAAGAUAUCACAGUUAUAUUGUUUAUCUUUGACCAAUACAAGAUAUUGCUAAGGUAACUAUUGGAUUCGUGGAAAUGAUUAACAACAAUACUAAUCAUCAUCAUCAUCAUCAUCAUCAUCAUAAUUAGAUUGUAAUAUUUUUCACCAUUUAAUUGAAAUCGAUAACAGAAUUGUCAUUAAUCAUAAACAGAAAAACAGUCUGGGUCAGUUAAUUUUUAGAAUGAUAAAUUUUCAAUUGAUCCGAAAUGAUUAAGAAAAAAAAAGAGAUCAAACCAAUAGAAAUUAAUUGUUACUUAGAUUGGAAAUCAAUUUGUUACCUCAAUUAAUCAAUUGUAAGUCAAAUUAUUAUUGGUAAAUUUUGUUCUUAUUGUUAAUAUUAAUCAGAUUUUUCUCAAUGAAUUGACAUUGGUUCUGAUUGUUGGUUUGAUUUUAGAGACCAAAAUUGAAUCUCUAUUACAAUAUUUCCAGUGUAACAA
Panonychus citri (citrus red mite) is the source of this 1188-nucleotide long non-coding RNA. RefSeq lists it as uncharacterized. NCBI's taxonomy places the organism in Eukaryota, Metazoa, Arthropoda, Arachnida, Trombidiformes, Tetranychidae. The record is from RefSeq and is a predicted model, not a curated record. The transcript is spliced from 3 exons.